This 1252-nucleotide long non-coding RNA is filed under the name Nasonia vitripennis (jewel wasp). RNAcentral's name for it is "uncharacterized LOC116418258". The record is from RNAcentral. Lineage: Eukaryota; Metazoa; Arthropoda; Insecta; Hymenoptera; Pteromalidae.
AAAUAAAAGAGUAGAAAAAAGAAGUCGCACGAAUUUUGAACAAGGAACAAUAUUUUAUUUAUCAGAUAAGUUAAAACUUUAUAAUACCUUUUUAUUGAUUAUUAUUAUUGAACUGUAAUACUUUGUGUCAUUUUUAUUGGUAUUUUUUUUAGGAUUGUAAUAGGAUAUUCUAAAAGGUAAUAAGUAAUCAAAUUCAAUGACAUAAAUGCUGUAUGCAUUUUAUAAAUCAAAACGACAAUUAUUCAACAGCUGAUAAAUGUGUUCAUGCGCAACUAAGUAAUACAAAAAAAUAUAAUUUGCAUGGUGUUGUAACUACUGCGAGUCAAGUGGAUAAGUUGACCUUGUUAGUUAAGUUGCUGGCAAUAGUGAAUAAAAUACUGUUGGAGAUUGUUGGAAAACUGAUCAGUGAUGCGUGUCUCAUGCACUAACUUUGGAUGAACUCUACAAAAAUUGUAUACGUUACUCAUGAUACUAGAAUUUUUGUCAAUGGAGAUAGACGUUAAUCUAUUUUAUAGUAUUGUUGGGAUCACUCAGAUGCGCCCUUCCCAGUGCUCGGAUAAUGACUGGAUCAAAUAAGAACAGGCUUUAUUUGGUUGACGAAUGAAGUAGAGAAGAUUUUUUAAGUGAAGGGAACAUUUGUAUAAUAAUUCUUUAUUAAUUUUCCUAUACUUAUGUCGAAGAAGUUAUAAUAAUAAGUGACAAUAGUUUUGGUUAUUUUUAUAAAUUGAGGAAAUGAUUUCAAAAGUGAAUAAUUUGAACAAACAUCUUGCUGUAACUAUAUACAAGUUAAUAUAACAAUUAAUUUAAAAUAAUGUAACAAUAUAUGAAUUAAAACUUUUUCUGAUUUUUUAUUUAAACAUUUAUUUGUGUACCAUUCUUUUCAUACGCACUGUAGCCUACUUAAGUGGACUAUAUUUUUUAGAUGAUGUUUUUUUUUUAUUUUCUCCUUACUCCAUCAUUUUUGUAGAUACAUAAUAUAUAUAUAUCUUUACAUAUAUUUUAUUAUAUACAUAUAUCUUUUCCAUCGGUAGACAUCAUUUUAGAAAAGGUGCAUCAGGUAUUAUUAUUUUAUUGAUUUUUUAUUUUAAAAAACUGAUCUUACACAAAUCAUAUAUGUAUCGUACGUAAAUUUUAACUGGAUUAUUUUUAGAUUUAAUAGUCUUUUUUGUCUGCCUGUGUUUCUUAAAAUGAGUAUAUAUGAAUUAAAAAUUAUAAUAUAAUUCUGCACACAUUACACAUUACUUAGCUAUCA